Molecule: long non-coding RNA, 4335 nt
Organism: Motacilla alba alba
Lineage: Eukaryota; Metazoa; Chordata; Aves; Passeriformes; Motacillidae
Exons: 2
Source: RefSeq, a predicted model, not a curated record
GCGCAUUGCACAGGACUGCGUCCAGAGGGAUCUUGAGAAUUUCCAGUUAGGGAGACUCCACAGCUUCUCUGGACUAUCUGCUCCAGUGCUCAGUCACCUACACAGUAAUGAAGCUUUUCUUCAUGUUAAGGUUUUCUCACUUAUAUGUCCAGUUAUACAAAAACACAUCUGAGGGAAUGCCAGUCUUGUGUCUCACUGACACACAAACAAAAUGAAAAUCACAACCUUGAAGAGCCCAGCUACUCUAGGAAGAUCUGAAGUAUGUGUAUCUGAAGAAAGGGAUUUCCAUCAGCUUGGCAUAAGCUGUACAGGAAAUAGGCCGCAGAAACUUGAAAACAGCUUUUAGUUGACCUUGCAUUUCAAAUUAUAUGAAAACAUAAUUGCAGUAGUAGAGAUUUUCUGUAUAGAUAAGUUUUAUAGAUAAACACAGCAUUGAAUAUUUUAAUGCAGCGUUGGAUAUUUGGACAUGUGUGUGAAGGGCCUGAAGAACUGAUUCUGGAUAUUUACGUCUACAGGUUAGUGACGAAUCUGCCUAGGAGGGCCAUUCAACAGUCUUUGAGCAAGGGUGAUCAAUGGAAUGCCCAACUUGGAUGUUUUUGGAAUCAUCAGUAUGAAUUUUCUUGAAAGCAUAAUGAUAGUAGGGCUGUAUAUACCAGUAAGUGCUUAUUUAGCCCAAGAAUAUAUUUGGUUUAAUUUAAUCCCUGUUAUCAGCAUGGUAUUUUUAUAUGACCAAGUCAUGCACAGACCUAAACAGGUCAGACUUCUCAGCAGCUGUUUGAAGUGCAUGACACAUUCUGGACGGAAGAAGCUGUCAAGGAGUGUAAUGAGGGCAGUUUUGAAGGAAAUAUCACUUAAUUGUGGCUGAUGCUGCUGAAUUAGUCAUACAUCCUUAUUGCCAGGAGACACCGUCAUGGAGCUUUAGCUCUUCUAUCUCAGGAUGGCAUGUUUUACAACCUGAAUUUAGAGAAACAGCUGCAGUAAUGAAAUAAUUCACAUUCUGCUCCUUACUCAUAAAUGUGCAAUAGCCAUCCCAAACAACACAACAACACAGCACAAAAUGGUUUUGGUUUGUUUUUUUUUUUCUGGGAGCAAAAUAUGGCUCAAAACACAACAUGUUAAAUUUUGGAUUGUACAAAAUCUGUGUCACUAACAGCAUAGAAUAGCUAUCAAGUUGAAAGCUUGUAAGGACAGACAAAUCUUUUAUGAACACGUAUUUCUUGAAGAGGUCUCUUCACUUUCCUGUUGGUGUGCUGGUGAAAAAUUGAUUCUAGAAUGUUAAAUUAAAAAUCACUGCAGAAGCAUUUUAAGCACAAAUUCAUAAUAAAUUUCACAUAGAUUUUAUCUGUUGAUUUUUUUACUGGGAAAUUUACCAAACCAUUCUACUCUACUUGUAAUAUCCCUGCACCAAAAAUGUCAAUUUCCUUCAAAUGACAGAAGCAAGCUCAGGAAGUUCUGAGCUGUUUGUUUAUUUGGGGUCGUAUCAAUAGGAUCAACCACAUCAAUGCUUAAAGACUUACAUUAUGAGUAAUCAACUGUUUCAUUUGGUGUGUCUUAACUACUCCUAAUUUCCCUUGGGCUUCCUGUGCUUGCUGCAUGUUGUGUUCUCUCUGCUGAGGACAGUCAGUGUGCCUAUUUUUAGCAGUGACAAGUUAAACAGCCCCCACAAGGAAAGAUGCAAUAGCUGUUAAAUAAGGAUAUAAUGUGAGUGAAUAAACAUCUCCCAUUGACUUGUCCUUUCCAGAAAAGUUACUUGUUAUUUCCUUUUUCUCCACGUUUACAGAAGAAAGGUAUGGCUUUGCUAAUUAAUGUCUUACAAAGCUCAGGUCAGAGUUUUUAAUCUGCAGCCCCACAGAUUGUGUUCAGUUGGACGAAACAAUUAAUUCAACAUGCUUCUCAGGAAGCCUCAGUUUCUUCCUAUCAUAUUUGCACAUCCUAAACUACACCACACAAUCUGUUUCUCAAGUUUUAUGCUGAUAUUUCCAUCAACAUUAUCAUUAGCCUGCAAGGCUGAGCUCUAAUUAUUAAAAUGUCCAAUGCUGAACAGGUUUACAGCCAGUACAGACACAUUCCACCUUAACAACCCCUUAUCACAGCAUCUGCUGGAUUAAUUACUGUGAGGUCACAAACCCCUCUUCUAGAUCAAAAGUGAACUGACUGGAGAGUCCAACUUAACUGACCUAAUUCCAAGUGGCGAAAUUUCUCAUUAACUGGACCCAGUUUGUUUCUGUGUCUAUUUGUGUUUGUUUAUUAUUUAAAUAUAGGUAAGUAGGAAGAGCUUAGGCAAUUGCUAGCACAGUCAUAAUUUUCUUUCCCAGACAGAUGGCACAAGUGAUGAGGGCCCCUAGAAAAGACUUGGCAUCUCUAAAGUUACAAUCAAUAUAUCAGCUAUGAUAUACUGGGGCUUUAAUAGGGAAUGCCAAACACCAUUUUUGGGCAGCUCCUCAAAAAAAUGGAAGAGUGAGAGCAACACUUAAAAGUGUUCUACUAGAUAGUGCAUCACAUGUGGUUCAUGUUUCAGAGGUUCUUGUCUUAAAUCAGUCUUAAAGAAAAAAAAACAGUUAUGCAAAGGAAAGGUAUACAAAUAGUAUAGCAUUGGUUAAAAAUGGUAACAAAAAUGUGUGACAAGCCUUUAUGUACAAUUUAAAAUUUGAAAGUGAAGUGAAAGUUCAACAUUAUCCUACAAAAACUAAAAUCCUGCAACAGUAGAAAUUACUGAGUGAAUAGCAUCAAUUGAUCAAAUAUAUAGACCUACUUAAUUUUCACUCCGUGUAUUUAUUCAUAUACAAUAGUCAUUUUCACAUUUUCAAUCUUUUCCAUGAAUACUAAAAUCAUUUUUAUAAUGGCAGGCAUUUCUCUCUCCAUUUCACGUUUGUGAUCAGGGCUAAACAUUGCUUACACUCGGCCUUAAUGGUGCAUUUCUGUUGAGCACCAAAUCUCAUUUCAAGUCCUCAGUUAUGCAAUAUUCCUUCCACUUACAGACUCCUGCUGUUAGUCUCUGCAUCGGAUCAUUAAGUGCUGCUUUGCAACACCAUCAAAAUAAAACUAUUUUUUUUCAGUUUGUGUUUGAAAUGUUAUCAGCACACAGUUGAAGAAAUCUAUUUAGACAGUGGUGGUCUCACAUUUCAUGUAUAGAAUACUUCUUCUGGUAUGUUGGAGGUGUAAGAGAUCUUGCUGCAACAAGAGCAAGGUGUUUUGAUUCAAGGUGGGGUGGGGAAUCAGCCCAAGGGACACAGCAGUCUUGUAGACCAGUAGAUAAGACAGUCACCAUAUAAUGAGACUGGAAAAGGUGGAAUUGCUUCUGUUAAUGCAAGGUUGACAAUUCACUAUUCAUUCAUUGACAAUUAACAAUGACUAUCUCUGAAAUAGUCAGAGAUGUAAGCAGAAAGGAAGCCUCAAAUCUUACAACCUGCACCAAAACACCAGCAAGGCUUUAAGACAGACUGCAAAUUAAGCCUCAGCCUUUCCAGGAGUUUCAUUGUACUAUUACAAAAGCUCAGCAGCAGCUUCAAGAGGAAGCUGCAGCCUAGCUAGCCGAGCCAACUGAGGCUGCUCAAAGUCGAUUUGUCAUCUGCAGCCAGAUGAAUGCUUAUCACAUCUAUACCUCACACUAAGCUUAAUAAAUACAAUUCUGUUUGCAUUGUUUGGGGCAUUACUGUUAUCCACAGCCUGAAAAUAGCUCAGCCUUCACCAAAAUGGCAUUUUAUAAACUAGUACUUUGCUAAAGAAGUGUAUUUUUUGCCACAGCUCUUUCCAGAGGGUACAAUACACAACACAGAAACAGUACAACCUCUCAGCAUUGCUGAACAACAGAACAGCUACAUGGUAAGACAGAGAAAUUGGGAACAGGUUGCCUUACAGAGUACCAUGGCUAAAACCAGAAUUUUAAUAGCAUAUGGUUUUGAGUAAUUUUUUGGUACAUGUAUUACACAUUAAAGAUAUUGGCAAAAGUUUCAAAUAAGAUGAUUUUAUUUCUUUUUAAAUCAUUUAUACAGCACUGAAUAUUCUGAUGACUUUCAGACCUAAAAUAAUCCCUAUACACAUGUAGGUGUUUGUGUAUUGUAUUACAAACUAGUAUGUGUUGCCCCUCUUAUUUUCAGAAGAAAUAAGUGUUACAACUUUUCCUCAGGGAUAUCACAGUCUUUAUUUUAAGCAACUCUCAGUUAAUAUUUUAUCACCCUGUCAUUACCUUGUCUUCUAUUAACAUACCACUAUUCAUUUAUUAGCAUUUAUUGACUUUAGGCUGCAAAUUCAGAAAAGCAGACAUGUUGCAGGCUCAGUGGUUGUAAAGAUCUUUAUAUUCUGUGAAUCUGUCCAAAAGGGUGUCCAAAUCAUUAA